Molecule: long non-coding RNA, 247 nt
Filed under: dengue virus type 2
Lineage: Riboviria; Orthornavirae; Kitrinoviricota; Flasuviricetes; Amarillovirales; Flaviviridae
Description: partial sfRNA1
Rfam family: Flavivirus DB element (bases 156-227)
Source: RNAcentral
CAGAAGUCAGGUCGGAUUAAGCCAUAGUACGGAAAAAACUAUGCUACCUGUGAGCCCCGUCCAAGGACGUUAAAAGAAGUCAGGCCACUAUAAGUGCCAUAGCUUGAGUAAACUAUGCAGCCUGUAGCUCCACCUGAGAAGGUGUAAAAAAUCUGGGAGGCCACAAACCAUGGAAGCUGUACGCAUGGCGUAGUGGACUAGCGGUUAGAGGAGACCCCUCCCUUACAAAUCGCAGCAACAAUGGGGG